CAGCAGCCACGGUAAUACAGAGGGUGCAAGCGUUAAUCGGAAUUACUGGGCGUAAAGCGCGCGUAGGUGGUUUGUUAAGUUGGAUGUGAAAUCCCCGGGCUCAACCUGGGAACUGCAUCCAAAACUGGCAAGCUAGAGUAUGGUAGAGGGUGGUGGAAUUUCCUGUGUAGCGGUGAAAUGCGUAGAUAUAGGAAGGAACACCAGUGGCGAAGGCGACCACCUGGACUGAUACUGACACUGAGGUGCGAAAGCGUGGGGAGCAAACAGGAUUAGAUACCCGCGUAGUCCCUGUCUCUUAUAC
This 301-nucleotide ribosomal RNA is filed under the name uncultured bacterium. RNAcentral describes it as "partial 16S ribosomal RNA". It matches the Rfam family "Bacterial small subunit ribosomal RNA", at positions 509 to 807 of the family's 1533-position model. The record is from RNAcentral.